This 464-nucleotide long non-coding RNA is filed under the name Androctonus crassicauda. Lineage: Eukaryota; Metazoa; Arthropoda; Arachnida; Scorpiones; Buthidae. The record is from RNAcentral.
CCUAAGGCCAUCAGAAAUAUGUGUUUUCUGAUGGUCUUUAGGCGACCCCUGUGAAAGGAUCGUUUGACCCCCGAAGGGGUCGCAACCCACAGGUUGAGAACCACUGAGCUAGAGGAAUGGGAUAGUAGUUGUAAAACCAUUGGUGGGGAAAUUUAUUAAGGUCCCUUUCUCCUUUCCUUUGCAGGUGUGAUACAGAUGACACUUGGUCUGUACCUCUCAAACGUUAUCCCUUUGACUUAUUGAAAACCAGGGAGUUUCUGGAGUAUGCAAGACUCAAAUUGCAAUUGUAUUAGGUCUUAUGGAAGGAGCCAUCCAUUCUGUCUCUCUCUCUCUUUCUCUCUAUUAUUUUUGUUUUUAUUCUUCUUCUGUUCUCCAUAAUCCAGGCAGCUGACCCCCUUUUUACAUCUCCGAGCCUGGGACCAAAAUGUGAUAUUUUACCAAAAAUUCAUGGGCUUCAAUGCAUU